AGUGAACGCUGGCGGCAGGCCUAACACAUGCAAGUCGAACGGCAGCACAGGAGAGCUUGCUCUCUGGGUGGCGAGUGGCGGACGGGUGAGGAACGCGUCGGAAUCUGCCUAUUUGUGGGGGAUAACGUAGGGAAACUUACACUAAUACCGCAUACGACCUACGGGUGAAAGUGGGGGACCGCAAGGCCUCACGCAGAUAG
Molecule: ribosomal RNA, 200 nt
Filed under: uncultured bacterium
Lineage: Bacteria
Description: partial 16S ribosomal RNA
Rfam family: Bacterial small subunit ribosomal RNA
Source: RNAcentral